This 253-nucleotide ribosomal RNA is filed under the name uncultured bacterium. Its description in RNAcentral is "partial 16S ribosomal RNA". It matches the Rfam family "Bacterial small subunit ribosomal RNA", at positions 524 to 776 of the family's 1533-position model. The record is from RNAcentral.
GACGUAGGGCGCGAGCGUUGUCCGGAUUUAUUGGGCGUAAAGAGCUCGUAGGCGGCUUGUCACGUCGGGUGUGAAAGCCCGGGGCUUAACCCCGGGUCUGCAUUCGAUACGGGCAGGCUAGAGUGUGGUAGGGGAGAUCGGAAUUCCUGGUGUAGCGGUGAAAUGCGCAGAUAUCAGGAGGAACACCGGUGGCGAAGGCGGAUCUCUGGGCCAUUACUGACGCUGAGGAGCGAAAGCGUGGGGAGCGGACAGG